CUACGUAGGGAGCGAGCGUUGUCCGGAAUUACUGGGUGUAACGGGAGCGUAGGCGGGAGUGCAAGUCAGAUGUGAAAUACAUGGGCUCAACCCAUGGGCUGCAUUUGAAACUGCAUAUCUUGAGUGAAGUAGAGGUAAGCGGAAUUCCUGGUGUAGCGGUGAAAUGCGUAGAUAUCAGGAGGAACACCGGUGGCGAAGGCGGCUUACUGGGCUUUUACUGACGCUGAGGCUCGAAAGCGUGGGGAGCAAACAGGAUUAGAUACCCUGGUAGUCCACGCUGUAAACGAUGAUUACUAGGUGUGGGGGGACUGACCCCUUCCGUGCCGCAGUUAACACAAUAAGUAAUCCACCUGGGGAGUACGGCCGCAAGGUUGAAACUCAAAUGAAUUGGCGGGG
RNAcentral lists this ribosomal RNA (396 nucleotides) under uncultured bacterium. Its description in RNAcentral is "partial 16S ribosomal RNA". It matches the Rfam family "Bacterial small subunit ribosomal RNA", at positions 523 to 918 of the family's 1533-position model. The record is from RNAcentral.